AACUAUUGAAUAUGCUCUAUGUUCCUACUUUGAUACAAAACCUCUUAUCAGUUAGAUAAUUUAUAGGAAACAACAAUCAGAUCCUAAUAUUUAGAAAAGAAUGUUGUAUUGCAUCAAAAGAUUCACACCUUCAAAAAAUAUACACCCUUGGUUAUUGAGAUCCAAAAUCUAGGCUCUAUAAACUAAACAUAAAAGGUACAGUCAUUCUACCUCAAAGUUUACUAAAGGGAGCCAACAAUAUUAAUGGCAUAGACUCCAUAUCAAAAUUGACGGAUGCCAAAAAUAUAGAAAGCAGUAAAUAAAAGCCUUCAUCAAAAAGUCAACUGACAACAGAUGUAUAUAUAAAAUAUGAUUGCGGAUCCUUUUAGAAUAUUCAAACAAAAUCUUCAAAAAGAAUAUUCAUAAAAAAAUUUAAGCAAGAUUUCUACUUGUCACAUUGUCAU
RNAcentral lists this long non-coding RNA (443 nucleotides) under Physcomitrium patens. RNAcentral's name for it is "long non-coding RNA (PPAT_LNC003293)". Lineage: Eukaryota; Viridiplantae; Streptophyta; Bryopsida; Funariales; Funariaceae. The record is from RNAcentral.